UUAAUGAUUGAUAUCAUACUUGGACCGCAACAUGGACGAGUUGACAGGGCCUCUGGUGGACGCGGGCCGGCCGGAGCCGGCGGCGGGGGGUACCCGCGGGUCCACCGAAGCAACAGAGGUUGAUACACAUGGGUGGGAGGUUCGGGCCUUGCGACCCUCACUCGGUAAUGAUCCUUCCGCAGGUUCACCUAGAGAAUAUGGUUAGCAAUCGAUCGUCGUGGGUCGAGACGGGAGGCUUCGUGUACUCACCUACGGAAA
RNAcentral lists this unclassified non-coding RNA (258 nucleotides) under uncultured fungus. Its description in RNAcentral is "sequence contains ITS1". Lineage: Eukaryota; Fungi. The record is from RNAcentral.